CUUUCAAAAAUCUGUUUCAUCUAAUGAGGUAGGAUACUAUAUACAAGUUGAUAUAUCCUUACAAUAUUAUAUUUUUAUUAUGUAAUUUAUUUCAUGAAUUGCUAAUUGACCUAUUGGUCUUAAUGAAAUGAAUGUGAUAUGCCUUCAGAAUUUCUCAAUUAUUUGCAUAGAAAUGUGUUAAAGCAUUCAAUUGAUCUCCAACUGCUCUCAAUAAAACGGUGGUAUGAAAUGCCAUAAUUUAUGUUUAAAAUUUAUAUUUUUUUUUUGGAUGCGUGUAUCCUACUGGGUUUUAAAUUACUCAUUUUUUCAAAAUUUAACAUUUCACGUUAGAUUGAUCAAAGUGAAUGGUGGUUGAGUGGUACAUAAGUUGCCAAAGUAAAAAAUUUUAAGAAAACAUUCAGGAAAAAAAUUUAUGUAGAUUUUAAUAAUUUUUUUCUAUGCUAUUAAAUAUUCUUAAUUUCAUGACUCUAUUUCAAUUUAUGAAAUGAUAUCAACUACAACCCAGAUAUUAAGUCAAUAAAAUUGGGAACAUUGCAGUUUGGUAUCAGGGCAAAAGUUUAUCUAUCUGCAGCCAAAAUAAAAAUUAUCAAAAUGUAUCCACAGAUAAAUGUUAAUUAAAAAUAAUUUUUUAGUUACUGUUCACGGUGUGAACAUUGAAUAAUAAUAAUAAUAAUAAUAAUAAUAAUAAU
This 689-nucleotide long non-coding RNA is filed under the name Olea europaea subsp. europaea. The record is from RNAcentral. Lineage: Eukaryota; Viridiplantae; Streptophyta; Magnoliopsida; Lamiales; Oleaceae.